ACUCAGCUUUUAGCACAAAAUUGCUGUCUAUAGAAGUGGUGUCAACCCUUCCUUUCACCUGCAUGCAAAAGUGAAGGGAGACAGGGCUAUGAUCAGCCAAUCUGGUUAUUAACUCCAGGCGUCUCACUUCAAAGGUGACUGAGAUGCACCAACUGUCCCAGGGAUGUGUGAAAAGUUUGCUCUGAGGAGCUUUGUGGCCAAUAAUAAAUAAAUUGGAUUUGAGAACACAGCUUUGAAAGUUAAUGAAGGUUUCCCAGGGCCAUAAGAAUAUGAGCUGUGAAUCUAGUCCCUUGAAUUAGCAUUUUGUAACCAUUGUUUUAAAUGCUACUGUCAAAUUUUAAAUAUAGUUUUUCUGACAACAGUAAGUUAUAGAAAGGGAAAUCUUGCCUUUGACUUUAAAGCAAUUAAAUAUUCACCUCUAAAAUUCUAAAUCUGUUUCCACAGUCUUAAGGUCUGUUUGGUUGAAUCAGCUAAAAACUUGCACUUCUUCACAUACUGAACUCCAGAAGAGCUUAAGUGCUUUUUUGGUACCAAGUGCCUUAUAGAUACAUAAGAUUCAGAGAAGAGGUAAAAGUUCACAGUUUGGAGGGUCUCUAAAAGUUUUCAUGCAAUUGGCAGCUCAGCCUAUUUUAAGAAAAGACAUUUUGUUGCUUUCUGAUGCCAAUGCUUAUCAUUAUCUUUAUCAUUAAUUCCACUUUUCAUUUAUCAUCCAAAUCAGGCAAUCAAACCAGGAAAUUUUAUCCUUCUCUUCACCUCCCUUUAAAAAAGUAUUUGGUGACUCCUUGUUAACUCAUCUAUUUUCAAAUGCCAUGAUUCACUUCGCCAUCCAACUCUAUCUCCUGAGAAUGCAUACAAUAGUGAAUAAUGGCAGAAAAUAAUUGAGGCUUUUUAUUACAGACAAUAUUGGCCCUUGUCAUAGUAUUUUUUAAAUGAUCACUUUUUUAGUUUUCUAAAUUGUAAAACGAUUAGAUACAAAUCCAGAAUGAGAAUUCUGCCCUUGCUUUUCAGUUCAUCUACUCUGCACUCAUCCUCUUUGUAAAAAACAACCAUCCCAAAGGAACCCCAGACCAUAUUGUUCUUCCCUGUUCCUGUCAGUAAGUGAUUCAGGAAGCUUCCUUGAAGCAUGGGGUUUUCUACUUUAUUAUCCCCACUGCCGAAUACGAUACACAUGGAUUGUCAAAAAUCUGAAUGCAAUAAAAGGAACAGCAAUCCAUCUAUAAUGAAUAUAAUUUAGUCCUUCAGGAUGUAGAAUUUGCAGUUGUGCAGACCUCCAUUAUGAACAUCAAUGAUAAUUACGCUGUCACUAUAAAAAAUAUAGGAAAUGGACUGAAACAGCCUUCCUCCUGUAAUACUCUGCACGUUGUGUGAUAAAAGGAAUGCUUUCUAUCACUUGCUUACUUUUCUCUUUCUUAUAGAGGGGAAGGAGGUAAGGGGAUGAGGAGAGGGAGAUGAUGAGGGGAUGGUUGAUGGGUAUCAGGGGGACAUAGUUCUUUAUUUUCUAAAGGUAUUACAACAUAUAAGAAAUUGUGGCAUUAAUCAGCCUCCACCAGCAUCCACCACAAAUGAAAUCAGAGGCAGGGAAAGAGAGUGGGAGGGGCAAUGAGACAAGUUACAUGGUCUCAGUGGUGGACAAUGCCAACUUGUUCUCUUCUUUCCUAGGGAGCUCAAGUUAAACAAUACAUGGAAGACUCCUGAGCUUAGUCACCAAGUCAUGACUUGACCAUCAAUCUGAUCUCUCUCAUUUCCUUCCACCCCACGGGGAGUCCUCACAUCCCUUGGAAAUUUAUGCCUGCCUUGGGGGGCUCCGGUGCAGGGCCCCCUGUCCUUCUGAGUCACCCCCUGGCUCCCUGUCAGGCUGCUGAUUUGAUUCGCUUCCUGAGGAAUGUGGCAGGAGGUGAGCCAGUGUGGCAAGGCUUCUGUCCUCCGCAUCACCAGGUAGGGAGGAGAGAGCCAGCUCCACAGCUUCUGGUCCCACUUUCCUCUGGGUUAAUUCCUCCUCACUCUGUUUCAAAAUGUAAUUAGAGUUUAUCCACUCUGUUCCCAGCGUUACCACUUUCAGGAGCAGGUAAAUCAGGUAAUUCUCCUCACCAGCUGCCGCUUCCUGCUGAACAGAGUCCUCCUGGGAGGCUGCAUUGCCUGUCGAACGCCUGAUGAGAGGUGCUGCUUACAGCAAGUCCCGUUAAUAAAUAGCUCCUCCAGCUGAGACCAUUUGUCUGAGGGCUAUUUCCAUCAGUUACAACUGGUUCCUAAAAUAUUUCCACUGUAGUAUGCUAUAAUCUCUUAGGGCACCAGAAAAAAAAUUUUUUUAAUUAAAAAAAAAAAAAUCUCUGUAGGUUCUUUCGCCAGUAAGAGGGAGCCUCCCUCUAAAUGCACAAGACUCAGCAGGUCUGGCACAGCUAACCUUGAUCCUUCCUAGCUGGUGUCUUAUUGCUGCUUCUUGCCCAGCCUCCUUUCUGGUUUUAACCUGGCCUCCUCCUUUAUGUUCACUUAUUUCAUUACUUGAAAGAAAACAGCAGGACCUGGAAACUCUAGUCCAGUCGUGCUCCUGGACUCCUGUCCUGCCCUGCGGUCUCUUUUGAUCUAAAUGUCUUUCUCACUAGUACAAAUGUGGUCGCUAAGAAGCCUAGAGAAUCUGAAAUAAACCAAGGGACUAUAUGGGGACGUGUUUGUAAGUGUGUAAAGCCAGGUAUGUUCCCCACAUCACUGUCUGAUCUCAGGUUGUCUACAAGUGUAGAUGGUGCAGACUCUCUCCCCAAAACAGAGGUUUUACGGCCACAUGGAAGUGUGAGUUCCUGCAUUUAAUUACAACAUAUGGUGAGUUACAACGUGUUCUGGUGCUGAUUUUAACGCUUGUGAAGCACUUGGAGGAUUGUCCAUUCUUAGGUAUACAAUUGCCUCACGGCUGGAGAAGAGAUAGUGCCACAAGCUGGUUUCACAAUGAAAAGCCACUGCUGGAUGCUCUGGUUUAGGCUGGCCUGCUUUUCUUGGGCAAACACAACGUGCGCUCCAGUCUGUCUUUGUAAUACCAUGUGAGAUAGACUGCUCUUUCAUCUGUUAUUUUUUGCUUUCUCAGCUGGCUCUUGAAAAACAGUCAAAUUUUAAAAGAAAGGGAGUUUAAAUUGGCAAAGGGCCAUAGACCAUUCAGGUGGAGAGGGCAUGCAUGCAUUCUAUUACAUGUGCCUAUACAAUAGUAUACAUCUCAUAUACAUAUUUUUAUUUGAAUUCUUAUGAGUGACUACCUUUAUCUUGAAUCUCCUUAAUUCAUUCAUUAAAAUGCUAGCACCUACAAUAUGCCAAACACCUAGGGUUUUAAAUUUCAUAUUUUGUAAUUGUUUUUCUCACAUUGCAUAUUUCAUAUUGUGUACUUAAAAACAUAUUUUGAGUUUGUGUUUACAUGCUAUUUUCAAGCUGAACCAUUUUGAGGAACUCCAAGAUACAACUUAUAUUUUCAUUUGAAAUUACAAUGAUUUUCAACUCACUUGAAAUAUUAGUUUUUUAAUUGAAUUGAUAUGUUUUGGAGACUAAUUUUAUGUGAUAAUUAAAAUGUUUCCUUCAUACACACUGCAGCAUAUUGUGUUGCUAUGGAUUCAUUUCUCACAUUUACUACCUAGUCCUGGGGGAAGAAAAAAAGAAAGAAAUCAAGCACAAAGUGUUUCUAGUCUCAAUCAGAUCUAAUGUCUCUUCAGUUCUGAUUCUGUUUCCUAUUAAAACCAGAAGAUGUGUUUUGGAAGGACAUGACUGAUCUCCAUGAUGUCAACUUCAAAAAUCAAUCAGGCUAAAAACCAUUCCCCAUUUAGAGGAAUGAGAGCUCCGAGAAAAUGCCUGAUUUCUGGGCGGCAGCAGUGAAGGUACAUCAUGAGCCAGAGAUUUGUUUUGUUAAUGCCAGAAAUAGGGAAGUGCUCAAAAAAUGAUGAGAGCAUAUUAAAAGGACACAGAGGCUAGCUUGAAUGAGUUCCCACUUGCCAAAUCUAGGACAACUGGGGCAUGAGAGAGAGAAAAAAAAAUUAAAAAGAGAGAAGAGCAUUAAUGGAAAAUAAUUGACUAAAAACAAGGAUUCAUGGAUUGAAACUGCUAAUAAAUAAAUAAGGAAGAAAAUAUAGUUGUUCCUUACUGCCUGGUAGAUAGAGAAGGCUAAUAGAUAAAUAAAAUGUAAAUUACUAUUUCGCAACCAUCCUAGUAAAACCAAUUCAAAUUAGAAUGGUGAAUAGGCCAAAUCUAGGGGAGGAAAAUUUGAUGAGGAACAAAAUAUUUACAUAGUUUCAAACUAUGUCUUCACAGACUAAUAAUUAUAAAAGGGAAAUAGUAUACAGUGGAGAAAUGGGAUAAGGUCUCUAAAAAGUGGAUUAAAAUCACCAUCAAGAGACAAAGUUGCAUUCAGUGCCUCCAAAUGUGAAACCAUGAGACACAUUAUCAGUCAUGUAGCAAUCCAACCAAAAAUGGGUGUAAUCUGAGUUUAAUCACCAGGAAACAACAGAGAAAGCCCAAAUCUUACUCAGGAUAUUCAAUGAAAUAAUUGCCCUGUAUUCAUGAGAAAUGUCAAUAGUAUGAAAGACAGAGGAAGGCUGAGGAACAGUUCCAAAUUAAAUCAGACGAAAAAGACCUGACAGCAAAAUGCAAUAUGUCAUCCUAGACAAUAUUCUGAAUUGGGAAAAAAAAUUAAAAAGGAUAUUAUUUGUACCACUGAUAAGAAAUGUAGACUUCAGGGAGUUCCUGUUUUGGCACAGAGGAUACAAGUAUUCAUGAGGAUACGGGUUUGAUCCCUGGCCUCACUCAGUGGGUUGGGGAUCCGGCAGAGCUGUGCUGUGGUGUAGGCUGCAGACUCAGUUCAGAUCCCACAUUGCUGUGGCUGUGGUGUAGGCCAGCAGCUGUAGUUCCAAUUUGACCUCUAGCCUAGGAACUUCCAUAU
RNAcentral lists this long non-coding RNA (4906 nucleotides) under Sus scrofa (pig). RNAcentral describes it as "lncRNA (ENSSSCG00000054093.1)". Lineage: Eukaryota; Metazoa; Chordata; Mammalia; Artiodactyla; Suidae. The record is from RNAcentral.